UGGCCGCGCGCUGUUGUUUGGUGUGUGUGUGGGAGCCGGUGUGUUGAGCUGCUGCAGAUGCCUCUACCCUUCCAUUGACUGCUGUUUGAGUGACUUAAUGAUAUGGGAACUGGCCAGGUUCUGUAUAUGGAUGGCGAGCCACUAGGCCCAAAACUGAUGCUUUGGAGUGCAUGCAUCUGCCGGUGUGGUAGGAGGCGCUGCAGCUGCUUCGUUAGAUACACCUGCACACACCUUCAGACAUUCACACCUGCACACAUUCAUGUUUGUUUCAUGGGCUGUUCCAUCAUGGACUCAUUGGACUUUGCCUGUUAAGAGUUGUGUGUCGUGAA
Molecule: long non-coding RNA, 329 nt
Organism: Xyrauchen texanus (razorback sucker)
Lineage: Eukaryota; Metazoa; Chordata; Actinopteri; Cypriniformes; Catostomidae
Exons: 3
Source: RefSeq, a predicted model, not a curated record